RNAcentral lists this ribosomal RNA (829 nucleotides) under Escherichia coli. Its description in RNAcentral is "partial 23S ribosomal RNA". It matches the Rfam family "Bacterial large subunit ribosomal RNA", at positions 361 to 1194 of the family's 2925-position model. Lineage: Bacteria; Pseudomonadati; Pseudomonadota; Gammaproteobacteria; Enterobacterales; Enterobacteriaceae. The record is from RNAcentral.
AGGGUGACAGCCCCGUACACAAAAAUGCACAUACUGUGAGCUCGAUGAGUAGGGCGGGACACGUGGUAUCCUGUCUGAAUAUGGGGGGACCAUCCUCCAAGGCUAAAUACUCCUGACUGACCGAUAGUGAACCAGUACCGUGAGGGAAAGGCGAAAAGAACCCCGGCGAGGGGAGUGAAAAAGAACCUGAAACCGUGUACGUACAAGCAGUGGGAGCACGCUUAGGCGUGUGACUGCGUACCUUUUGUAUAAUGGGUCAGCGACUUAUAUUCUGUAGCAAGGUUAACCGAAUAGGGGAGCCGAAGGGAAACCGAGUCUUAACUGGGCGUUAAGUUGCAGGGUAUAGACCCGAAACCCGGUGAUCUAGCCAUGGGCAGGUUGAAGGUUGGGUAACACUAACUGGAGGACCGAACCGACUAAUGUUGAAAAAUUAGCGGAUGACUUGUGGCUGGGGGUGAAAGGCCAAUCAAACCGGGAGAUAGCUGGUUCUCCCCGAAAGCUAUUUAGGUAGCGCCUCGUGAAUUCAUCUCCGGGGGUAGAGCACUGUUUCGGCAAGGGGGUCAUCCCGACUUACCAACCCGAUGCAAACUGCGAAUACCGGAGAAUGUUAUCACGGGAGACACACGGCGGGUGCUAACGUCCGUCGUGAAGAGGGAAACAACCCAGACCGCCAGCUAAGGUCCCAAAGUCAUGGUUAAGUGGGAAACGAUGUGGGAAGGCCCAGACAGCCAGGAUGUUGGCUUAGAAGCAGCCAUCAUUUAAAGAAAGCGUAAUAGCUCACUGGUCGAGUCGGCCUGCGCGGAAGAUGUAACGGGGCUAAACCAUGCAC